Long non-coding RNA from Atta colombica, 575 nucleotides. RefSeq lists it as uncharacterized. NCBI's taxonomy places the organism in Eukaryota, Metazoa, Arthropoda, Insecta, Hymenoptera, Formicidae. The record is from RefSeq and is a predicted model, not a curated record. The transcript is spliced from 3 exons.
UUUGUCCUUAACAAUCGUCAGGACUAUCGCUCGCGGAUUGCCAGCUCGUAUCACGGAGUUAAUUCGCGUCUUUCGUGCAGUGCCGCGUAACAUGUUCGACGAGGCAUUUAAAUCGAAUAUCUCGCUCGUCUCGCUUCGUCUCGCCUCGUCUCGCCUCACCUCGCUUCGCCUCGCGAAAUCGCACGGUGAAAGUCGACCGGGAGCGACUUUAAAGUAACGCCGAUUUUCGAAUGGACGAGAGAGGGAGUGAAAAAGCACACCUUCGGGACCGUGCAUUACCUGACAGCGCGCAACCACCAGUCGAGUGGUUCAUUCGUCCCGUGGCGUCGCCGUGCUCCAAUACGUCAGUCUAUGUUUGCUCGGCCGUCAGCGAAGACGACGAACGACGCAACGUAAACUACGAAAACACGUUUAUUUACAAGUGCCACGGAAGAAACAAGAUUACCUCUCAAAUCACGAACAAUUCAUGCAGAAUUUAACGCGGUGACGUUGGAAAAAUAAAACAGUGAUGUAGUUGAGAUUUUAUCAUUUGUUUCUAAUCUCGGUCAAUGACCGGUUUCGACGACAAGCUGAAG